AUAAGAUGUUCACAUUAGACUCUAAGUCUAAUAAAGCCCUAUCAAUGAUGGUUUUGUUAGAUGCAUAUCCUAGAAGCCAAUCAGAUUGACACAUUAAUUUUUUCUAGGACAUAAUUUCAUACUUGAUCUAAUUAUUUAGGAUAGUUAAUUAUCAUUCAUGUAGUAUAUGUGUCUAUGAAUUGUUUAAUGAAUUAACAAGAUGAUGAUACAUAUUCUCAAAAAUUGAGAAUUUGAGGCAUGUAUCAUUGAUGGUUAAUUUAUAAACUGCUCCCGACUACUGGAUCAUCAUGAAGAUGGUGAUCAAUCUAGAU
RNAcentral lists this long non-coding RNA (311 nucleotides) under Elaeis guineensis (African oil palm). RNAcentral's name for it is "long non-coding RNA (EGUI_LNC014495)". Lineage: Eukaryota; Viridiplantae; Streptophyta; Magnoliopsida; Arecales; Arecaceae. The record is from RNAcentral.